Armillaria fumosa is the source of this 95-nucleotide non-coding RNA. The record is from the annotation of a GenBank genome assembly. NCBI's taxonomy places the organism in Eukaryota, Fungi, Basidiomycota, Agaricomycetes, Agaricales, Physalacriaceae.
GACCCCUUAGCUCAGUGGUAGAGCGUGUGAUUCCAGAAAGGUUUGACCCCUAAGUGGCGUCCACAAGGCCAAGCGUUCAACUCGCUUAGGGGUCA